CCCGCUGAACUUAAGCAUAUCAAUAAGCGGAGGAAAAGAAACUAACAAGGAUUCCCCUAGUAACUGCGAGUGAAGCGGGAAAAGCUCAAAUUUAAAAUCUGGCGGUCCUUGUGGCUGUCCGAGUUGUAAUCUAGAGAAGUGCUAUCCGCGCUGGACCGUGUACAAGUCUCCUGGAAUGGAGCGUCAUAGAGGGUGAGAAUCCCGUCUUUGACACGGACUGCCAGGGCUUUUGUGAUGCGCUCUCAAAGAGUCGAGUUGUUUGGGAAUGCAGCUCUAAAUGGGUGGUAAAUUCCAUCUAAAGCUAAAUAUAGGCGAGAGACCGAUAGCGAACAAGUACCGUGAGGGAAAGAUGAAAAGAACUUUGGAAAGAGAGUUAAACAGUACGUGAAAUUGCUGAAAGGGAAACGUUUGAAGUCAGUCGCGUCGGCUGGAGAUCAACCUUGCUCUUGCAGGGCGCACUCUCUGGUUGAUGGGUCAGCAUCAGUUUUGAUCCGUUGGAUAAAGGUCAGGGGAAUGUGGCAUCGAUUCGUUGAUGUGUUAUAGCCCUCGGUCGUAUACAGCGGUUGGGACUGAGGAACUCAGCGCGCCGCAAGGCCGGGUCUUCGGACCACGUUCGCGCUUAGGAUGCUGGCAUAAUGGCUUUAAGCGACCCGUCUUGAAAACACG
RNAcentral lists this ribosomal RNA (666 nucleotides) under uncultured fungus. RNAcentral describes it as "eukaryotic LSU rRNA". It matches the Rfam family "Eukaryotic large subunit ribosomal RNA", at positions 24 to 663 of the family's 3401-position model. The record is from RNAcentral. Lineage: Eukaryota; Fungi.